This 949-nucleotide ribosomal RNA is filed under the name Microbacterium barkeri. RNAcentral's name for it is "bacterial SSU rRNA". It matches the Rfam family "Bacterial small subunit ribosomal RNA", at positions 36 to 996 of the family's 1533-position model. The record is from RNAcentral. Lineage: Bacteria; Bacillati; Actinomycetota; Actinomycetes; Micrococcales; Microbacteriaceae.
CGGGGGGGCGUGCUUACGAUGCAAGUCGAACGAUGAAGCCCAGCUUGCUGGGUGGAUUAGUGGCGAACGGGUGAGUAACACGUGAGCAACCUGCCCCUGACUCUGGGAUAACAGCCGGAAACGGUUGCUAAUACCGGAUAUGCAUCAUGGCCGCAUGGUCUGUGGUGGGAAAGAUUUUUCGGUUGGGGAUGGGCUCGCGGCCUAUCAGCUUGUUGGUGAGGUAGUGGCUCACCAAGGCGUCGACGGGUAGCCGGCCUGAGAGGGUGACCGGCCACACUGGGACUGAGACACGGCCCAGACUCCUACGGGAGGCAGCAGUGGGGAAUAUUGCACAAUGGGCGGAAGCCUGAUGCAGCAACGCCGCGUGAGGGAUGACGGCCUUCGGGUUGUAAACCUCUUUUAGCAGGGAAGAAGCGUAAGUGACGGUACCUGCAGAAAAAGCGCCGGCUAACUACGUGCCAGCAGCCGCGGUAAUACGUAGGGCGCAAGCGUUAUCCGGAAUUAUUGGGCGUAAAGAGCUCGUAGGCGGUUUGUCGCGUCUGCUGUGAAAACCCGAGGCUCAACCUCGGGCCUGCAGUGGGUACGGGCAGACUAGAGUGCGGUAGGGGAGAUUGGAAUUCCUGGUGUAGCGGUGGAAUGCGCAGAUAUCAGGAGGAACACCGAUGGCGAAGGCAGAUCUCUGGGCCGUUACUGACGCUGAGGAGCGAAAGGGUGGGGAGCAAACAGGCUUAGAUACCCUGGUAGUCCACCCCGUAAACGUUGGGAACUAGUUGUGGGGGCCUUUCCACGGUCUCCGUGACGCAGCUAACGCAUUAAGUUCCCCGCCUGGGGAGUACGGCCGCAAGGCUAAAACUCAAAGGAAUUGACGGGGACCCGCACAAGCGGCGGAGCAUGCGGAUUAAUUCGAUGCAACGCGAAGAACCUUACCAAGGCUUGACUUACACCGGAA